Non-coding RNA from Pantherophis guttatus, 305 nucleotides. The record is from RefSeq and is a predicted model, not a curated record. Lineage: Eukaryota; Metazoa; Chordata; Lepidosauria; Squamata; Colubridae.
GGCUGUGCAAGGAUUCAAGAUUAAUUCCUCACUUGAGAUCUUCCUGCUGUCUGGCUGGGUUUCCUAACAGAUGUGUAACAGCCCUGUUGCUUCAUUUGAAAGAUGACUUUGAAUAAAUGCAAGCUCGGUGUUACUUUCUCAUGCCAAGCAAGAUGAUGACUUCCAGAGAAAAAGGAGAAACCCUACUGUUGUUUGCCUGCCUCAAGAUUUUAUGAAAUAUAUCAAUUUGCCGGAAAACCAGACAACGCAUGGCUGAAGCAGAGAGAAGCAUGAAGUUGUAAAUGAUCCCAGCUCGCUAUAAUGGG